This 358-nucleotide unclassified non-coding RNA is filed under the name soil metagenome. Its description in RNAcentral is "partial contains 5.8S ribosomal RNA, internal transcribed spacer 2, and large subunit ribosomal RNA". The stretch from base 1 to 120 matches the Rfam family "5.8S ribosomal RNA", at positions 35 to 154 of the family's 154-position model. The record is from RNAcentral.
GAUGAAGAACGUAGCGAAAUGCGUUAAGUAAUGUGAAUUGCAGAAUUCAGUGAAUCAUCGAAUCUUUGAACGCACAUUGCGCCCGUCAGUAUUCUGGCGGGCAUGCCUGUUCGAGCGUCAUUACGCCCCUCAAGUCCCCUGUGGACUUGGUGUUGGGGAUCGGCGAGGCUGGUUUUCCAGCACAGCCGUCCCUUAAAUUAAUUGGCGGUCUCGCCGUGGCCCUCCUCUGCGCAGUAGUAAAACACUCGCAACAGGAGCCCGGCGCGGUCCACUGCCGUAAAACCCCCCAACUUUUUAUAGUUGACCUCGAAUCAGGUAGGACUACCCGCUGAACUUAAGCAUAUCAAUAAGCGGAGGA